GGCUUGGUAGCUCAGCUGGUUAGAGUGCUGGCCUGUCACGCCAGAGGUCGAGGGUUCGAUCCCCUUCCAAGUCGCCA
RNAcentral lists this transfer RNA (77 nucleotides) under Clostridium acetobutylicum. RNAcentral's name for it is "tRNA-Asp". It matches the Rfam family "tRNA". Rfam says of the family: Transfer RNA (tRNA) molecules are approximately 80 nucleotides in length. Lineage: Bacteria; Bacillati; Bacillota; Clostridia; Eubacteriales; Clostridiaceae. The record is from RNAcentral. RNAcentral also lists the same sequence under 9 other names.